UAAAAGUUUAAAAACAGACCAGGAAGUAAACAUGAUGGCACAAGUGACCUCAGUAUUGUGGAGAACAGAGGUUUGAAAGCAAAAACAGUAACAAAGAAGCAAAAGCAAUAAAUUGAGUAAAGCACAGCACCUGGUAUUGAAGAUAUGGAAUGCUCAAAUAUAAAGACAGAGGAGACCAUACAAAGGCACUCAAGAACCAGAAAGAGAGUAUAGAGGGAUCAGGAUAACCUGACACUGCUAGUCACAGAGAAGGAAAUUGAACAUCAAGGAGAAAGAGAAGUAAACUAGAGAGAAGUAAUACCAGUGAAUUUUAAGGUAAAAAAGAAUGGGAACUCCCUCUGGGUAUUUUCACAUAGAAUCAUGCUUAAAAAAGCAGAUAAAA
RNAcentral lists this long non-coding RNA (382 nucleotides) under Dasypus novemcinctus (nine-banded armadillo). RNAcentral describes it as "lncRNA (ENSDNOG00000050629.1)". The record is from RNAcentral. Lineage: Eukaryota; Metazoa; Chordata; Mammalia; Cingulata; Dasypodidae.